AAUGUCUUCGUGAACAUGGCGUACUGCUCAGUAACACGUGGAUAACCUGCCCUUAGGUCUGGCAUAACCCCGGGAAACUGGGGAUAAUUCCGGAUAGAUUAUAGACGCUGGAAUGCCCUGUAAUCCAAAGCUAUUGUGCCUAAGGAUGGGUCUGCGGUCUAUCAGGUUGUAGUGGGUGUAAUGUACCUACUAGCCUACGACGGAUACGGGUUGUGGGAGCAAGAGCCCGGAGAUGGAUUCUGAGACAUGAAUCCAGGCCCUACGGGGCGCAGCAGGCGCGAAAACUUUACAAUGCUGGCAACAGCGAUAAGGGAACCUCGAGUGCCAGGUUACAAAUCUGGUUGUCGAGAUGCCUAAUAAGCAUUUCAUAGCAAGGGCCGGGCAAGACCGGUGCCAGCCGCCCGCGGUAACACCGGCGGCUCGAGUGGUAACCGUUAUUAUUGGGUCUAAAGGGUCUGUAGCCGGCCGGAUAAGUCUCUUGAGAAAUCCAGCAGCUCAACUGUUGGGCUUUCAGGAGAUACUGUCUGGCUCGAGGCUGGGAGAGGUGAGAGGUACUUCAGGGGUAGGGGUGAAAUCUUGUAAUCCUUGAAGGACCACCAGUGGCGAAGGCGUCUCACCAGAACGGACCUGACGGCAAGGGACGAAAGCUAGGGGCACGAACCGGAUUAGAUACCCGGGUAGUCCUAGCCGUAAACGAUACUCGCUAGGUGUCGGCCACGGUGCGACCGUUGUCGGUGCCGUAGGGAAGCCGUGAAGCGAGCCACCUGGGAAGUACGGCCGCAAGGCUGAAACUUA
Molecule: ribosomal RNA, 795 nt
Filed under: uncultured archaeon
Lineage: Archaea
Description: bacterial SSU rRNA
Rfam family: Archaeal small subunit ribosomal RNA
Source: RNAcentral